Molecule: non-coding RNA, 84 nt
Submitted as: unclassified sequences
Source: Rfam
UAGCUUUGAGGUGGUAAACUUCGUUGCAACCACGCGCCCUAGUGGCUAAAAGAGAUGCAGGAGCCGCGACGCCUGCCGAGGUCA